AACGAACGCUGGCGGCGUGGUUAAGGCAUGCAAGUCGAACGAGAAAGCAGGCUUCGGCCUGCAAGUAGAGUGGCGUAAGGGUGAGGAAUACUUGGACAACCUACCCUUGAGUGGGGAAUAACACCUCGAAAGGGGUGCUAAUGCCGCGACGAUCCGGUUGGGGCAUCCCGGCCGGAUGAAAGGAGGGGUCCUUCGGGACCUUUUCGCUCGAGGAGGGGUCCAAGUCUUAUCAGCUUGUUGGUAGGGUAACGGCCUACCAAGGCUACGACGGGUACGGGGCCUGAGAGGGUGUUCCCGCACACUGGGACUGAGACACUGCCCAGACUCCUACGGGAGGCUGCAGUCGAGAGUCUUCGGCAAUGGACGAAAGUCUGACCGAGCGACGCCGCGUGGAGGAAGAAGGCCCUCGGGUUGUAAACUCCUGUCAGGGGGCAAGAAUAAGCGCGCCAACUACGCGUGAUGACUACCCCCAAAGGAAGCCACGGCUAACUCCGUGCCAGCAGCCGCGGUAAGACGGAGGUGGCAAGUGUUGUUCGGAAUUACUGGGCAUAAAGGGCACGUAGGUGGCUCGACAGGUCAAGGGUGAAAUCCCCCGGCUUAACCGGGGAAUUGCGUUUGAAACCAUCGGGCUAGAGUGGAAGAGGGGAGAGUGGAACUCGCAGUGGAGCGGUGAAAUGCCUAGAUAUUGCGAGGAACGCCGGCGGCGAAAGCGACUCUCUGGUUUCCAACUGACACUGAGGUGCGAAAGCUAGGGGAGCGAACGGGAUUAGAUACCCCGGUAGUCCUAGCCGUAAACGAUGAGCACUAGGUAGAAGAGGUACCCAAUCCUUUUCUGCCGGAGGAAAUCUGUUAAGUGCUCCGCCUGGGGAGACGACCGCAAGGUU
RNAcentral lists this ribosomal RNA (884 nucleotides) under uncultured Planctomycetota bacterium. RNAcentral describes it as "bacterial SSU rRNA". It matches the Rfam family "Bacterial small subunit ribosomal RNA", at positions 28 to 895 of the family's 1533-position model. Lineage: Bacteria; Pseudomonadati; Planctomycetota. The record is from RNAcentral.